RNAcentral lists this ribosomal RNA (388 nucleotides) under uncultured bacterium. Its description in RNAcentral is "bacterial SSU rRNA". It matches the Rfam family "Bacterial small subunit ribosomal RNA", at positions 28 to 418 of the family's 1533-position model. The record is from RNAcentral.
GACAAACGCUGGCGGGGUGCAUGAGACAUGCAAGUCGCACGGGGUUGAUCGGGCUUGCUCGAUCAACCUAGUGGCGAACGGCUGAGUAACGCGUAGGUGACCUACCCGGAAGUGGGGAAUAACUGCCCGAAAGGGUGGCUAAUACCGCAUGUGGUCGGCGAAUCAGAUCGCCGUCCAAAGCCGAAAGGCGCUUCCGGAGGGCCUGCGUCCGAUUAGCUAGUUGGCGGGGUAACGGCNCACCAAGGCGACGAUCGGUAGCUGGUCUGAGAGGAUGAUCAGCCAGACUGGGACUGAGAACGGCCAGACUCCUACGGGAGGCAGCAGUCGGGAAUUUUGCCCAAUGGACGAAAGUCUGAGGCAGCAACUCCGCGUGAGGGAUGAAGGCCUU